AGCCUCCCUUUCAUUUGACACGUCGUGGUUGGGGCGAGUUUCCUGUGAGGAUCCAGAUCCACUUCAAAGACCCUCGCAACAAACGCAUUGACAUCAUCCACCAGCUUAAGCUGGACAGAACAUACACGGGGCUCCAGACACUCGGGGCAGAAACUGUGGUUGAUGUAGAGCUCCAUAGGAACUCUCUUGGGGAGGACUAUAUCCCUCAGCCCUCUUCCUCCAAGGUGACUCACAAAGCAGCCAGCCCCACGUUGGCUUCCUCCCUGGCCCAAAGUUAUGGACGCUCCAGUUCCCCCAUCUCACAUGAUUCCAGUGUAGAC
Non-coding RNA from Plectropomus leopardus (leopard coralgrouper), 320 nucleotides. Lineage: Eukaryota; Metazoa; Chordata; Actinopteri; Perciformes; Serranidae. The record is from RefSeq and is a predicted model, not a curated record.